AAAUUUUUCCCUCAUUCGAGUUAUAAAUUUUGCCACCAGAUGGUGUAUGCCCUUCCCAUCUCGAGGAGGGGUUUUAGUCGGUAAGUGCUACGGCGAAUCCGACACUACCCCCCUUCAGGGGGUGUCUUUUGAAGAUUUCCCCUCCUCGAGGC
Non-coding RNA from Agrilus planipennis (emerald ash borer), 152 nucleotides. The record is from Rfam. Lineage: Eukaryota; Metazoa; Arthropoda; Insecta; Coleoptera; Buprestidae.